GCUGUGGAUACCAUGGCGCACUUAAUGGAAGGAAGGUCCUUAUUACCACAAUUAUACAUUAUAAAAUGGUAGCAUACCUACAACCUAGCGCACAAAAUGACGCCAUCUGUGGAAUGGUCCAAAUUCCUUCUUGUAGGCUACUUUCCAGCACAUGUCUGAAGCAAUCUUAACUGGAAUGUUAUGUAAAUAAUGAGCUGGUUCCAGCUGUUCGACACGUCUUGGAAGAGAAAAUACAUUUUGGGAUAUAGACUAGGCUACAGACGCAACCAACAUUCAUACUGCUGUCUGGACUGAAGAUGAACGUGGUACCUUCAGGUGUUUGGAAGUUGCUCCCAAGGAUGAACCAGACUUAUGGAGGUCUACAAUUUUUUUCUGAGGUCUUGGCUGAUUUCUUUUGAUUUUCCCAUGAUGUGAAGUAAAGAGGCACUGAGUUUGAAGGACCUGAGCCCUAGGACCAUGCCUCAGGACUACCUGGCAUGAUGACUCCUUGCUGUCCCCAGUCCACCUGGCCGUGCUGCUGCUCCAGUUUCAACUGUUCUUCCUGCGGCUAUAGAACCCUGACUUUUUCACCGGACGUGCUACCUGUCCCAGACCUGCUGUUUUCAAUUCUCUAGAGACAGCAGGAGCGGUAGAGAUACUCUCAAUGAUCGGCUAUGAAAAGCCAACUGACAUUUACUCUUGAGGUGCUGACUUUUUGCACCCUCGACAACUACUGUGAUUAUUAUUAUUUCACCAUGCUGGU
Molecule: long non-coding RNA, 742 nt
Filed under: Salmo salar (Atlantic salmon)
Lineage: Eukaryota; Metazoa; Chordata; Actinopteri; Salmoniformes; Salmonidae
Description: lncRNA (ENSSSAG00000090913.1)
Source: RNAcentral